This 839-nucleotide ribosomal RNA is filed under the name Hydroides norvegica. RNAcentral's name for it is "12S ribosomal RNA". It matches the Rfam family "Microsporidia small subunit ribosomal RNA", at positions 324 to 1311 of the family's 1311-position model. Lineage: Eukaryota; Metazoa; Annelida; Polychaeta; Sabellida; Serpulidae. The record is from RNAcentral.
CAAUUAGUUACCGCUAAACCCAGUUUUCAUAUGUAAUUUGGCUGUGUAAUCGAACGGUGCCAGCACUAGCGGUUAGACCCCAAGCCAUAAUUGUUGGAGGACGGUUGAAGCUUAUGCUAUAAGAAUUUACUUUUUGAUUGGUGAAAUGAGAAGGAAGAUGACUGUUUCGGUACUUAGUGUUUUACAAGUCAAAGAAAGUUAGAGACGGGGAUUAGUACCCCCUUAUUCUUUAGCCUAAUUAUUUACCUGGUGAGUACCUGUGGCGAGCAGGAAAGCCAAACCUGCUGACGGCUACCCAACAACGCAGUGGAGCUUGGGCCUUAAUAUGACGAUCCGCAUGAACCUACCCCCUUAGUAAAUAUGUAUUCUAAACAAGAAGAAGGUGUAGAUUAGUUUGGUUUAAUCGGCUUAGGCUGGUUUACCAAUCUUAUGGUCUAUACACAGCUUCUGUAUGGCUGUCCAAUUGUAAGGGUUACUUUACAGUGAAAAACCUACCGUUCGUCUUACUAACUUUAAGAGUCUUAAGAAAAGUUGGUCUGACAUCUAACAUUAACAUGUAUUCUAUUUGCUUGCUUACGGGGCAAUAGUUGACUUCAAGUGGUAGGAAAAAGUCAGGUGAUAUUGAGUUCAAUAGAGGAGGGGAGAGUCUGAGCUACGUUCCAUAUGAUUUCACUUCUUUUGAAAUAUUUUAGGGUAAGGAGGAAUUGCUAGUAAACUUCAAAUUAGCACUUGAAGUUGAACAUGCUAACUGGGUAGUGUACAAACCGCCCGUCACCCGCUUAGUAAUAGGUGGUAAGUCGUAACAAGGUGAGUGUUGGAGAACCAGUACUCUGCUAUAA